GACGAACGCUGGCGGCGUGCUUAACACAUGCAAGUCGUACGGUAAGGCCCUUUCGGGGGUACACGAGUGGCGAACGGGUGAGUAACACGUGAGUAACCUGCCCACAACUUUGGGAUAACGCUAGGAAACUGGUGCUAAUACUGGAUAUGUGCUCCUGCUGCAUGGUGGGGGUUGGAAAGCUCCGGCGGUUGUGGAUGGACUCGCGGCCUAUCAGCUUGUUGGUGGGGUAGUGGCCUACCAAGUCGGCGACGGGUAGCCGGCCUGAGAGGGUGACCGGCCACAUUGGGACUGAGAUACGGCCCAGACGCCUACGGGAGGCAGCAGUGGGGAAUAUUGCACAAUGGGCGCAAGCCUGAUGCAGCAACGCCGCGUGCGGGAUGACGGCCUUCGGGUUGUAAACCGCUUUCAGCAGGGACGAAGCUUUUUGUGACGGUACCUGCAGAAGAAGCACCGGCUAACUACGUG
Molecule: ribosomal RNA, 465 nt
Filed under: uncultured bacterium
Lineage: Bacteria
Description: partial 16S ribosomal RNA
Rfam family: Bacterial small subunit ribosomal RNA
Source: RNAcentral